UAAAACUGCGAUUGGCUGCUGUCAUCUGCUCCGUCUCUGGCCAGAGUGUGGCCAGAGUGUACUGUCAGGCCGGGAUACAAACAGAACUCAGACACAGUCAGGACCACCACUGUCUGUCGACCUAUGAUUGAGGAUAUUACCGUCAACAAACCCCAUCCCUACCCAUCUCUAUCACUCUUAAAGUUAAAACAGGUUCGGCAGUGCACAUGCUCAGUAGAGCAGCACAAGGGGGGUUUCCAGAAGCCUGGAUGAAACCGUGGGACGAACACCACAAGUUCUCGGUCUCUUGGCUGUAUGAAGGCGAAGGAGGCGUGCCCCCCAAACUUCCUCCCCCCGUCUAAAAGGACCAAGUUGGCUGUAUUUAUACUUCAGCUACCGUAAAAAGACAGACCACCACGGCUUGGAGGAAGAAGG
This is a long non-coding RNA of Mugil cephalus (flathead mullet), 414 nucleotides long. RefSeq lists it as uncharacterized. The transcript is spliced from 4 exons. NCBI's taxonomy places the organism in Eukaryota, Metazoa, Chordata, Actinopteri, Mugiliformes, Mugilidae. The record is from RefSeq and is a predicted model, not a curated record.